RNAcentral lists this ribosomal RNA (253 nucleotides) under uncultured bacterium. Its description in RNAcentral is "partial 16S ribosomal RNA". It matches the Rfam family "Bacterial small subunit ribosomal RNA", at positions 524 to 776 of the family's 1533-position model. The record is from RNAcentral.
UACGAAGGGGGCUAGCGUUGUUCGGAAUUACUGGGCGUAAAGCGCACGUAGGCGGAUAUUUAAGUCAGGGGUGAAAUCCCAGAGCUCAACUCUGGAACUGCCUUUGAUACUGGGUAUCUCGAGUAUGGAAGAGGUGAGUGGAAUUCCGAGUGUAGAGGUGAAAUUCGUAGAUAUUCGGAGGAACACCAGUGGCAAAGGCGGCUCACUGGUCCAUUACUGACGCUGAGGUGCGAAAGCGUGGGGAGCAAACAGG